Molecule: ribosomal RNA, 479 nt
Filed under: Fusarium oxysporum
Lineage: Eukaryota; Fungi; Ascomycota; Sordariomycetes; Hypocreales; Nectriaceae
Description: eukaryotic LSU rRNA
Rfam family: 5.8S ribosomal RNA (bases 117-270)
Source: RNAcentral
UACCACUUGUUGCCUCGGCGGAUCAGCCCGCUCCCGGUAAAACGGGACGGCCCGCCAGAGGACCCCUAAACUCUGUUUCUAUAUGUAACUUCUGAGUAAAACCAUAAAUAAAUCAAAACUUUCAACAACGGAUCUCUUGGUUCUGGCAUCGAUGAAGAACGCAGCAAAAUGCGAUAAGUAAUGUGAAUUGCAGAAUUCAGUGAAUCAUCGAAUCUUUGAACGCACAUUGCGCCCGCCAGUAUUCUGGCGGGCAUGCCUGUUCGAGCGUCAUUUCAACCCUCAAGCACAGCUUGGUGUUGGGACUCGCGUUAAUUCGCGUUCCUCAAAUUGAUUGGCGGUCACGUCGAGCUUCCAUAGCGUAGUAGUAAAACCCUCGUUACUGGUAAUCGUCGCGGCCACGCCGUUAAACCCCAACUUCUGAAUGUUGACCUCGGAUCAGGUAGGAAUACCCGCUGAACUUAAGCAUAUCAUAGUUGGGA